This 278-nucleotide unclassified non-coding RNA is filed under the name uncultured Anabaena sp. Its description in RNAcentral is "partial 16S-23S ribosomal RNA intergenic spacer". Lineage: Bacteria; Bacillati; Cyanobacteriota; Cyanophyceae; Nostocales; Nostocaceae. The record is from RNAcentral.
UAGGGAGACCUAAUCCAUUUAGAAAUCGAAAACAAUGAAAAUUGUCAAUAGAAACUAAAUUGGUCUAACCUAGGUCGUUCGAGAUUGGUAGACAUCUUUCAAAGUAUUAUUCGGCUUCGUUCAAAACCAUAUAUAAUAAAUGGAAAAAGACAGCACCUAAUUGUCAAAGUUAGACCGCUGGAUGAAGUUCCAGCCAGAACCUUGAAAACUGCAUAAGAGAACAAGAAAAAGCAGGCAGACACAGACAUUUAGAUGGAUGUGGAAGCAAAAGAAAUUGU